CUCAGGAGUUCAAGACCAGCAUGGACAACAUGGUCUCAUGGCAGAAUGAAGGAAUUUACCAAAGCCAAGCCCUUUGACUCUGGGCCUAUCUAUUUCUUUGAUCAGUUGAAACCUGAACGGAAAGAUGGGAAAAGAUAACCUGUGAAGAAAGUUAUCCCACCCAAAAUGCACCUCAAGAGCUAAGUGUAGGUUGGAUCUUUCAACAUCCUUACUCAAAAUGGGAAAUUCUGAAGUGGAAGACAGUCCCCAGUAUAGCUGUGAAGAGACUACAAGUAGCCAUAAUUCAAAUCAAAAUAGAAGAAGCAAAGCAAAAAAAAGAGGGCGUCAACAAACAACUUAUCCGGCGCCGCUAUGAGGACCUGGAAGGCGUGGAGGAGAGCAGGGAUCAGCAGUGCUCACAGAGUUUCUGGCUGGAGCUGCUGGAGAAGAAGCCUCAGAUGCCAAUUGUCAAAAAGGCUGACCCCAACAUGAAAAAAUUCCAUUACGCUCUGGUGGAUGGCUCCUCUCUGACCUAAUAUCCUUGUGAAAAUCCCAGGCGGGAAGGAGGAUGAAGGGGGCAGGUCGUGAUGGAAGGGGCUGACAGCUGGGGGUUUCCAUUUCAGCAGAAAAAACCCAGGAAGGAUUGGGAAAAGAGGUCUCAGACCUUGAGUUUGUUAAUCCCUUUUUACCAAUGGUCCACAUCCCCACAAUCUGGGGGCAAGAGAAAUCAACCCAAAAAAGAAGUUGGGGCAAGUUCCUCACUUUACAACCUUCUUUUUUUAUUUUUAUU
Molecule: long non-coding RNA, 769 nt
Filed under: Homo sapiens (human)
Lineage: Eukaryota; Metazoa; Chordata; Mammalia; Primates; Hominidae
Description: HSALNT0369906
Source: RNAcentral